This is a non-coding RNA of Elaeis guineensis (African oil palm), 1636 nucleotides long. The record is from RefSeq and is a predicted model, not a curated record. Lineage: Eukaryota; Viridiplantae; Streptophyta; Magnoliopsida; Arecales; Arecaceae.
GACUCAUCCAAACCCAUAAGCUGAUUAAAGCCCAAAUCGACCGGUGGUGGAAAGCUAAGACCAGAAGCCCAGGCGAACCCAACCCGUCCAAGAGAUGAACGGCCUCUGUUCUACUUUCGUGGGUCUCCCGUGCACAGGGCCCUGCUUCUCGCAGUCCCUUCCUCUGAAACGCUAGCCCUCCUCCACUUCCGGAUCUCCCCCAAGCCUCCACCAAGACCGCAUCUUCCCUCCAACACCGUCGCUGCCGCCGCCCAAGUGCUCCGCCUCCGCCACCACCUCGGACACCGUGUGGUCGUCUUCGUCGGCAAAGAAGACACGGAGCUCCGCGUCUCCUGUGGCGCGGAUCACAAGGAUGCGAGUCCCGAGUUUUUGGAAUGCAUUCAGCAGACCCAAAGGGUGGUGGAGCUUCUCAAGAAGAACAGAGAUAUGCUCUUUGGCGAGAUUGAGUUAACUAUCAUGAUCAAGGAUCCUAGAGAUACUGAAUGUAAAAGACUGCUUGGCAUCGAGGACCCUGAUGGAGUCAUAAGGGAUGACUUGGUUGCUGCUUUGGAAGACACGUGUGCUGCAUUUCUGUAAGAUGCAUAACUUCAUAUUCUAUGAAUGAAGGGAGAAUUCCAGAGAAUCAUGUCGCUUUUCGGUUUCUUUCUAAGGAGAUGAUGGAAUGGCUUGAUCUUAAGGUCUAGCAUGAAUGGCGACAACAAAGACUCAAUGGUUGUUUAUACGACUGAAUGACACCUGAACAACUAAUAGUCCUGAUGAUAUAUUACCAAAGAAUGCAGCCCUGGUUCUUUACGUCAUAGAAUGAAGAAAUGAUGGCUAAGAAUUAUUCGUUGGAGUCUGUGUUUGGUCAACAGCUUAACCGCCAGAAAAGAUCAUGCAGAAAACUGUGAUAAUUAUGUUCUCAAACCAUCACUAAUUUCUCUUGCCAAAACCCUGUUGACAUGCCAUGCCUGCCUAUGAUGAAGAGUUUGCAAUGGCAGGCGCUGAAGCCUAUGAGGAAGUGAAGGGAAAAAAAAAAAUGUAAAGGAAGAAGAAGAGGAAGAACUUUGCUGUGAAGAAAGCUCAAUUUCCUACCAGCUCUAUAGCUUACAUUUCCCACCAGACAAGGAGAAGGAAAUCUCUGUGGAUCCUGUAUCACUGAAGCAACUAGCAAAGGCGGGAGAUCCUUUGUCACAAUCGCCACUGACUCUGCCGCCACUCGGAAAGCCUAAGUUCAUCAGCUGCAGCCUUCCAAGUUCAGCUCUCUAAUCGCCAUAAUCUGAUUCAGCUACAAAGUGUUUCAAGAAAUGGAAAAUUCCAGCACAACUGCCCCACCCUGCGCUCGCCAGCAAUCCACAAAUCUAUCUCACCUCAACCAACAACAAGGAAUUCUCCUUUGUAGGAGCAAGUCUUGUGCUGAGGGUAGAUCUUCUUCCCCAUCAGAUGAGUUCGAAGUUGAGCUUUGGUGGUGCUGGCAAGUAACUUGUAGUGUACAUUGCCCUUGUUCGCUAGUGCUGCUAAUGGAAGCAGUUUGUUGUUCCCAAAAACUUGUCUAGGCUUGAACUUGCCGCGCCACAUCCUAAGCAUCCGAACGGAGUAGAAAGAAUUGAGCACCACGAGGUAAAUGGCUUCAAUGGGAAUCCAACUUUUGUUAGGU